GCAAGUCGAACGGUAACAGGAAACAGCUUGCUGUUUCGCUGACGAGUGGCGGACGGGUGAGUAAUGUCUGGGAAACUGCCUGAUGGAGGGGGAUAACUACUGGAAACGGUAGCUAAUACCGCAUAACGUCGCAAGACCAAAGAGGGGGACCCUCGGGCCUCUUGCCAUCGGAUGUGCCCAGAUGGGAUUAGCUUGUUGGUGGGGUAACGGCUCACCAAGGCGACGAUCCCUAGCUGGUCUGAGAGGAUGACCAGCCACACUGGAACUGAGACACGGUCCAGACUCCUACGGGAGGCAGCAGUGGGGAAUAUUGCACAAUGGGCGCAAGCCUGAUGCAGCCAUGCCGCGUGUAUGAAGAAGGCCUUCGGGUUGUAAAGUACUUUCAGCGGGGAGGAAGGGAGUAAAGUUAAUACCUUUGCUCAUUGACGUUACCCGCAGAAGAAGCACCGGCUAACUCCGUGCCAGCAGCCGCGGUAAUACGGAGGGUGCAAGCGUUAAUCGGAAUUACUGGGCGUAAAGCGCACGCAGGCGGUUUGUUAAGUCAGAUGUGAAAUCCCCGGGCUCAACCUGGGAACUGCAUCUGAUACUGGCAAGCUUGAGUCUCGUAGAGGGGGGUAGAAUUCCAGGUGUAGCGGUGAAAUGCGUAGAAAUCUGGAGGAAUACCGGUGGCGAAGGCGGCCCCCUGGACGAAGACUGACGCUCAGGUGCGAA
RNAcentral lists this ribosomal RNA (711 nucleotides) under uncultured Pseudomonadota bacterium. RNAcentral's name for it is "bacterial SSU rRNA". It matches the Rfam family "Bacterial small subunit ribosomal RNA", at positions 57 to 757 of the family's 1533-position model. Lineage: Bacteria; Pseudomonadati; Pseudomonadota. The record is from RNAcentral.